RNAcentral lists this ribosomal RNA (468 nucleotides) under uncultured bacterium. RNAcentral describes it as "partial 16S ribosomal RNA". It matches the Rfam family "Bacterial small subunit ribosomal RNA", at positions 28 to 507 of the family's 1533-position model. The record is from RNAcentral.
GAUGAACGCUGGCGGCGUGCUUAACACAUGCAAGUCGAACGGACAGACCCUGCUCUUGUGGGGUUCUCGAGUGGCGAGCGGGUGAGUAUCACGUGUGUAACACGCCCCUGUCUUUCUGAUAACUUCACGAAAAUGCGGCUCAUACCCGAUAGGAUAUACUGCUCCAUGGUGGGGGUUGGAAAGUUGCGGCGGUUGGGGAAGGACUCGCGGCUUAGCAGCUUGUUGGUGGGGUUGUGGCUUUCCAAGGCUUUGAGGGGUACCCGGCCUGAGAGGGUGAGCGGCCACAUUGGGACUGAGGGAAGGCCCAGACACCGACGGGAGGCAGCAGGGGGGAAGAGUGCACAAUGGGCGGAAGCCGGAUGCAGCAACGCCGCGGGCGGGAUAACGGCCUUCGGGGUGUAAACCGCUUUCGCCUGUGACGAAGCGUGAGUGACGGGAAUGGGUAAAGAAGCACCGGCUAACUACGGG